Molecule: ribosomal RNA, 63 nt
Filed under: Microbacterium sp. H83
Lineage: Bacteria; Bacillati; Actinomycetota; Actinomycetes; Micrococcales; Microbacteriaceae
Description: partial 23S ribosomal RNA
Source: RNAcentral
CAGAUGUGGAAGCACGGUAACGUGUGCAGCUGACUGGUACUAAUAAGCCGAUGACUUGAUAAC